This 396-nucleotide ribosomal RNA is filed under the name uncultured bacterium. RNAcentral describes it as "bacterial SSU rRNA". It matches the Rfam family "Bacterial small subunit ribosomal RNA", at positions 29 to 416 of the family's 1533-position model. The record is from RNAcentral.
AACGAACGCUGGCGGCGCGCCUAAUACAUGCAAGUCGAGCGAGAAGACGUAGCAAUACGUUUGUAAAGCGGCGAACGGGUGAGGAAUACAUGGGUAACCUACCCUCGAGUGGGGAAUAACUAGCCGAAAGGUUAGCUAAUACCGCGUACGCUCCUUGGACUUCGGUUCAUGGAGGAAAGCGAUACCGUGGGUAUCGCGCUCUUGGAUGGGCUCAUGUCCUAUCAGCUUGNGGUGAGGUAACGGCUCACCAAGGCUUCAACGGGUAGCUGGUCUGAGAGGAUGGCCAGCCACAUUGGGACUGAGACACGGCCCAGACUCCUACGGGAGGCAGCAGUGGGGAAUAUUGCGCAAUGGGCGAAAGCCUGACGCAGCGACGCCGCGUGUGGGAUGACGGCC